Non-coding RNA from Rattus norvegicus (Norway rat), 69 nucleotides. Lineage: Eukaryota; Metazoa; Chordata; Mammalia; Rodentia; Muridae. The record is from Rfam.
GGGGAUUUAGCUCAGUGGUAGAGCACUUGCCUAGCAAGCAUAAGGCCCUGGGUUCGGUCCCCAGCUCUG